Poecile atricapillus (Black-capped chickadee) is the source of this 4045-nucleotide long non-coding RNA. RefSeq lists it as uncharacterized. The record is from RefSeq and is a predicted model, not a curated record. NCBI's taxonomy places the organism in Eukaryota, Metazoa, Chordata, Aves, Passeriformes, Paridae. The transcript is spliced from 6 exons.
GAUCCUGACUUUGAGAGGAGUCUGUGGCAAGCAGCAAUUUCUAACCCAAGCUUGUUCCUCACUCUGGUCUCAUCCUGGUGGGUGGCUCCACCAGGAGACGGGAUCAUGACCCAAGGAUCAGAACAAGCAGCAGGAGUGUCCUCUCUGGACUGGCAUAUUACAAGAAUAGAUGCUCAUCAGAUUAUGCCUCUAGAAUCUGUGACUCAUCUUGCCCUCAAAUGAUCUGUAAAUUUUCAAUUAUGGCAAUACAUUCAUUCUGCCAUUUGGAGGAGCCUGUGCCACAGAAUAAUGAUCUGAAGAAAGCUCACUUAUUUGCAAGGAAGAGUCUUCAUUUGGGAACUAGUACUGAUGCAGCUCAAGGGUGCUUUUUCAAGUCCAGGUCCUUGACAUUCAGUGGGAUGAGAAUCUCAGAACUGACUACUGGGGACUCCCAGGCUACAGAUCAGAAACCAUUUUGGUAGGUGUGAGUUGCUUGUCAGAAAUCCGUUCCAAAGCUUGAGUGCAAAGGAAGCAGGGAACUAAUGAUGAAUAAGAAUGGAUAUCUUGAGGAUAACAAUGGAUAUGGCAUCUUCAAAAGCUGUGGCAUUCUGGAGGCGUUUUACUCUGGGCUUUGAAAGAACUUAUUUUCUGUUAUCUGGAGCAGGAAGUAGAUCAUCAUCAGUAGCAGUUGUUCUGGUCUAUUUUCUUUUUUACGUGGUGCCUGGUCCUAGUCUCCUGCAACUGGAUUUGUUCAAAUGGAUCUUGAUAGCCUGGGGGCCUGACAAAGUUCAUGGGACUCUGGUGACUGCAAGUUCUCACUCUGAAGAUCUGAUUUUAGGCCUGAACAAAAAUUUCUAUUUUGUUCUCCUGUCUAUUUGCUUCUUAAAUGAUGAAAAUUAUCCUUUAAAAUGGUGGUGUCUUUGAGUCUUAUGCACAUCCACUUUAGUAAUGUUCAGACACUGUGUGCUUGGGAUGUUUUCAGACAUUGUUAAAAUAUUUCUGUUCUGCUGUGUGCCUAAACCUCAUGAUUGCUCUGAUUAUUGUGUUUUUUACAUGUAGUGGUUUUCUACCUAAAAUGGAGGAGAUCGUCACCUGGGUUUUCAAUCAUUGUGGUAUUUCUCUUAACUCAGAUUUUUAAGUCACCGUAACUGUUGAAACUGUUCAGGUUAUUUUUAAGGAUGUAGGUAGAUUUGUUUAUUUUUUGCUAGACACAAAGUAUAAUUUAUUUUGCAAACUUGGCAGCCUAGUAUUACUGAAAGCUUUCAGUAUGAUGAUACUCUGAUGUAAUAAAAUAAGUAGGAAAAGACAUUACCUUUUACUAGCUCUACUGUUACUUUUCUAUUCCUGUGGCUGUGGUUACACAACAUACAACUGAGAGUGAAGAUUAUUUUUAUUUAUAUGAGCCACUGAAUACCUUGCUGUGCACUGUCCUAUUCCAUGUUGCAGCUUUGCUGAAUACUAAACUUACAGCCCUGAUAGAAGCAGUAUAAAGGACUUUGAAAAAUCACAAAUAGAGUGUGAGAGGAAAAAUAGAUGUAUUCUAUGUUAGUAUUUAUAUUGUAAUAUUUUUAAAGCAAGUAUAUAGCAGUAUACAAUAUUUAAGAGAUUAAAAGAUCCAAAACUUUAUUUCUAUAUAGAGAAUCAAAUUUUUUUUUGUUUUUGUAGGUUUAUUACAAUGAUAUUAAGGAGCUUCACAGUAUUUGAUGAAUUUUUGCAUAUUCCCAGAACAGAAAAGCACCGUUGUCCUGUUAGACCAAGGAGAAAACUGAGCCACUUGUUUAGUCAGUAGAAAAGUCAAUGAUAUUAAAUGGAUUCUCCUGCCUUUUAACCUUGUGCCACUGGCUCCAUUUUUCCCUCAAGACCCAAACCUUCCAUUAUCAUCAUCUGCUUUGCAUUUCUACGCGAGAGGCCCAAGGUGUUUCUGUUUGGACUCUCAGAAAAUGAGGAAGAGGAGGUUGGUUGGCCAUCUGCCAAGGUGUGAGGUCUGACUUGCUCCUUGCUCACGGGGGCUGCUGGUGUAGCAGAGGCAGAAGUGAGUGUUCUGUGUGGCAUUCAACUGCCUUAACCACAUGCCCAUCGCUCUCUUCCUGUAGUUGUGUCUUGUUCUCAGCAUAACUCCUAAAGACAACAUGUAUCCCAACCAAUAAAUAAUCUAAUUUGAUGCACAGCCCUGAUUCACUUCCUGAGCUGUGUCCUGCACACACGGAGCAGUCCUGUGGAAAAAUGCAGCACAGUGCACGAGGCCAAAGAGUAAGGCUGUUAAGUGUUUAAACUUUGCAAUGAAGCAGUGUUCUUUUAAUGUCACUUAUUAUAGCUAUAGCUCAAAUUGUUUUUAACAAAGAACAAGAGAAAAAUUAAAGCUUUCAGAACUGAUAGUAAGUGAUUCCCUGUCUAGCUUGUGAAUGUGACUAUCCAGCCCAGUGAAACACAACAUCAGCUGAUGGAAGGAGGCUGGCCACCUCCAGGGAGGAAGGGAAGCAAAAAGGGUGGGUGCUUAACACCAUGGGUAUAUCCAAUUUGCUUCCAAGUCUCAGGGACUAUUUGUAGAGUGUUGACCCCAGCUCUUUAGCUUUUGUUUUCUCUUCAGCAUUCCCACCCCCAAAAAUUAGUUCCUCCAGAGCUUCCCAGUGCAAUAGAUGUUGGGGGUGUUGCUGUAGUCUGCUAAUAAUUUAAAUGAGGAAACAGAAAUCAAAAGUGGGCUUUUCUCCUAUGUUUUCCUGUUGAAAAAUAAGAGGAGAGGCUCCCAGUUCUCUCCACAAUGAAUUUCAGGGGCUUUUCUUCUGAUCCUUGAUCUCACAAAUAGAUGGCAAAAACUUUAAUAAUAGAAAAUGCUGCUCUUGGCUUUAAUCUUCUUCCCAGUCAAAUUGUAGUGACCUGCUGUGUUUGUAAGCUACCAAGGAUGGUGUGUAGGCUCCAGUGCCAGGGCAAUUGUACUGGGAACACAAGCUCAUCUUGUUAUCUUUUAUGUUAGAAUUUAGUAGCAUAUUAAGUUUUUCUCAGGGAAACCUUGCCAGACCAUGGUCUGAGUUUCAGUUUCUGUUAAUGUCUGCUUUAUCUAUGGAUGGUGCUUGAGAUUUGGUCACCAAGCCUAGUGAUUUGCUAUGAGGAAAACAAAACAAUCUCCUACUUUGCUUUUGCAUGUUUUUCUCUGGGAUAUGCAGUCUUUUCUCACAAGUAAUGCAGCAAGUUCCUGUAAAAAGAACAGGUAGGAAUACUGUUAGGGAAAAUUUGGUCAACCCAUUCACUGAAAUUUAUAAAAAUCAAAAUAUUGGCAAAAGUAUUCACUUUCCUUUCGUUGCAAAAUAAAAAUGAAAACCCUGAUAUUAGUACUGAUUUAUUUAUUUUUUUUUUUAUAAGGAUCAGUCUUCAACAUUUCAUAGCUGUGGAGAAAUGGUGGGAAUAGGACAAAACAGUCUUGAUACGAAGAAUCACCUUAAGUCUUAAUAACACUUUGUAUCAUGAAACCAUGACCUGAAAUUGCUGCCUAUCAUAUCAGAUAAUAUUAUUACUGAUUUAUUAAGUUACCUCAUCUUACUUGCUUUUUGUAAUCUUCUGGCAGGGAUCACAGUUUUUUCUGUGCUUUGGGUGUCUUCUUUUGGUUUGGGGCUGUGGUUUUUUACCAGCACCUAACAGAUCAGAGUCCUGAUUCAUGAUUUGGCUUCCAGGUACUAAGAUAAUACAAGUAGUAAUCAUGCCUGCUGCUAAGAAUUUUCUACCUUAUUUCAUUUGCAUUUGUUUGCCUUCAGCUUCCAGUCAUUGAUUCUUGUUAUGCCUUCUCCGAUGGAUUAAAGAGCUCUUUAGGACUCGCUAUUUUCUCCCCAGGAAGGUGCUUUUAACCUGUAAUCAAGUUACUUCUCAGUAUUAUUUUUUUGGUUUGUUUGAUUUUAGAAAAAGCUAAACAGACUGAGCUUUUUAGGGUUCUCAUUAUUUAGGGUUUUCUUCCUAAAUAAUGGGGUUUUAGGGUUCUCAAUUUUUCAUAUUCCUGGAUGAUUUUUGUGGCUCUUUUCUAUCCAUAAAACUGUGUGUUACUAGUCACAUACACAGAAAUAUAAUUACUUCUCCAGUU